UCCGGUUUGGCACCGGCAGUCUCUCUAGAGUUCCCGGCAUUACCUGCUGGCAACUAGGGAUAGGGGUUGCGCUCGUUGCGCCACUUAAGGCAACACCUCACGACACGAGCUGACGACAGCCAUGCACCACCUGUAUACCGACCACAAGGGGGGCCGUAUCUCUACGGCUUUCCGGUAUAUGUCAAGCCCAGGUAAGGUUCUUCGCGUUGCGUCGAAUUAAACCACACGCUCCGCUGCUUGUGCGGGCCCCCGUCAAUUCCUUUGAGUUUUAGCCUUGCGGCCGUAGUCCCCAGGCGGAGCACUUAUCGCGUUGGCUUCGGCACCGAGGGGGUCGAUACCCCCGACACCUAGUGCUCAUCGUUUACGGCGUGGACUAC
Molecule: unclassified non-coding RNA, 377 nt
Filed under: uncultured bacterium
Lineage: Bacteria
Description: contains 16S-23S intergenic spacer region
Source: RNAcentral